Long non-coding RNA from Pan troglodytes (chimpanzee), 938 nucleotides. RefSeq lists it as uncharacterized. The transcript is spliced from 2 exons. Lineage: Eukaryota; Metazoa; Chordata; Mammalia; Primates; Hominidae. The record is from RefSeq and is a predicted model, not a curated record.
GGCACCUACAGGGCCGGGAGAGUGAUCCCAGAGGCCUCCCCGCCCAGUACCCGCCGGCAAAAAGCCAGCGGCACCCCCACGCCGCCCGCCGCCUACCGCCCGCCGCCAGGACCAGGAUCCGGACCCAGUCAGGACGCUCACCUUGCUCUCGGGGACGGGAAAACAACCUCUCGGAGAGUACAGUUCUGGCGCGGCUUCCGCGGGCUGGAGCCCAGAGUCUAAUUCAAACUGCCCGCAGCGGCCACCGGUGCCCAAUUCGCCCGCUUCUGGUCUCAACCAAACUUACCUCCACGCCUAUUGGUCACUCUAAGUAGCGGCGGACCAAUCUGCGCCUGCGCACUCAGACUGCCGCCUCUGAUUGGCCCUUUCGGAUGGAUUUUAAAAACAAGCCCUCUACUGGAGGUGCCUGUGCCAGAGUUACUGUUCUUUUUUGUUGUUGCGGGGAGACGGAGACCACGUGCUUUUGCUAAUGCUAGACGCGGUUUUGGACCGCUAUUUCCGCAAAAGUCAGGGAAUGCGCCCGCUGAUUAGGAAGGCGUGGUCUAUCGCCUACAGCCAGGGGAACUGUGCUGCCUGGUGAAACCUCUUUUAAACUGCACGUACCAAUCUACUUAAUUAAACAGCUUUCUCAGAAGAUAAAGGAGCCUGCUCAGCCAGCACACAACCAAGGCCUGGAAAUGUGGAGACAGUUACAGCUUCCAGGGGCAAUUCUCAACCAAUGGGAUCAGAAGCCAGUGAACAAAUGCCCCAGUGUUCCAUCUUUCACUUGGGCAAUUCCGAGAGAUCCAAAAGAAUCAAACCCCAGGUACUUACUGCUACAAAUGGUGACAUUGCAUCCUUAUACUUUUCCUUCUUCCCUGUCUCACUCUCCCUGACCCCACCCCUCUACCAUUUUGCUUCCUGGAAUCAUCACCCAAAUAAACUAUGUCCACCAAAUC